GAUGAACGCUGGCGGCGUGCUUAACACAUGCAAGUCGAACGAAGCAUUUGCGACAGAUUUUUUCGGAAUGAAGUUGCUUAUGACUGAGUGGCGGACGGGUGAGUAACGCGUGGGUAACCUGCCUUGUACUGGGGGAUAGCAGCUGGAAACGGCUGGUAAUACCGCAUAAGCGCACAAUGUUGCAUGACAUGGUGUGAAAAACUCCGGUGGUAUAAGAUGGACCCGCGUCUGAUUAGCUAGUUGGUGAGAUAACAGCCCACCAAGGCGACGAUCAGUAGCCGACCUGAGAGGGUGACCGGCCACAUUGGGACUGAGACACGGCCCAGACUCCUACGGGAGGCAGCAGUGGGGAAUAUUGCACAAUGGAGGAAACUCUGAUGCAGUGACGCCGCGUGAGUGAAGAAGUAAUUCGUUAUGUAAAGCUCUAUCAGCAGGGAAGAUAGUGACGGUACCUGACUAAGAAGCUCCGGCUAAAUACGUG
RNAcentral lists this ribosomal RNA (481 nucleotides) under uncultured bacterium. RNAcentral's name for it is "partial 16S ribosomal RNA". It matches the Rfam family "Bacterial small subunit ribosomal RNA", at positions 28 to 507 of the family's 1533-position model. The record is from RNAcentral.